CAACAGUGAGCUGUAGGAUGGUAACUACAAACUUUGCAGCCUUCUCUUUUUACUUCCCAUAAUGAGUUGUUAGACAACAAUGUCUGAAUCUAUUUUGUUCCCAGUGGUUCCCGAAGCAGUUCACUCAAGAUUACCUCGCAAAGUACACGAUUGGUGGACACACAAUGAAGGUUAAAGUAUUUCAUCCAAACUACAAUGAGCAUCGAGAAGUCCUAAGGAAGACAGUGAAGGAUGGACGGGCAGCCAUCACAAGGGGUUGGCCUAGAGUCGUGCGCACCUUACACAUGGAGGAGGGCACAAUAUGGGCAUUUCGCUUCACCUUCUCCAGCAACCAGAAUGUCUUUCUCCUCUCUCUUUAUACUCUUUAGUACAACUUUGGUUCAUCAUUCUUUACUUGGUGUUUCUGUAGUUCUUCA
RNAcentral lists this long non-coding RNA (416 nucleotides) under Triticum aestivum (bread wheat). RNAcentral describes it as "long non-coding RNA (TAES_LNC024117)". The record is from RNAcentral. Lineage: Eukaryota; Viridiplantae; Streptophyta; Magnoliopsida; Poales; Poaceae.